RNAcentral lists this ribosomal RNA (301 nucleotides) under uncultured bacterium. Its description in RNAcentral is "partial 16S ribosomal RNA". It matches the Rfam family "Bacterial small subunit ribosomal RNA", at positions 509 to 807 of the family's 1533-position model. The record is from RNAcentral.
CAGUAGCCGCGGGAAUACGUAGGGUGCAAGCGUUAAUCGGAAUUACUGGGCGUAAAGCGUGCGCAGGCGGUUCGCUAAGACAGAUGUGAAAUCCCCGGGCUUAGCCUGGGAACUGCAUUUGUGACUGGCGGGCUAGAGUAUGGCAGAGGGGGGUAGAAUUCCACGUGUAGCAGUGGAAUGCGUAGAGAUGUGGAGGAAUACCGAUGGCGAAGGCAGCCCCCUGGGCCAAUACUGACGCUCAUGCACGAAAGCGUGGGGAGCAAACAGGAUUAGAUACCCGCGUAGUCCCUGUCUCUUAUAC